This 372-nucleotide ribosomal RNA is filed under the name uncultured organism. Its description in RNAcentral is "partial 16S ribosomal RNA". It matches the Rfam family "Bacterial small subunit ribosomal RNA", at positions 526 to 896 of the family's 1533-position model. The record is from RNAcentral.
GUAGGGUGGCAAGCGUUGUCCGGAAUUAUUGGGCGUAAAGCGCGCGCAGGCGGUCCUUUAAGUCUGAUGUGAAAGCCCACGGCUCAACCGUGGAGGGUCAUUGGAAACUGGGGGACUUGAGUACAGAAGAGGAAAGCGGAAUUCCAAGUGUAGCGGUGAAAUGCGUAGAGAUUUGGAGGAACACCAGUGGCGAAGGCGGCUUUCUGGUCUGUAACUGACGCUGAGGCGCGAAAGCGUGGGGAACAAACAGGAUUAGAUACCCUGGUAGUCCACGCCGUAAACGAUGAGUGCUAAGUGUUAGGGGGUUUCCGCCCCUUAGUGCUGCAGCUAACGCAUUAAGCACUCCGCCUGGGGAGUACGGCCGCAAGGCUG